GACGAACGCUGGCGGCGUGCUUAACACAUGCAAGUCGAACGGAAAGGCCCUGCUUUUGUGGGGUGCUCGAGUGGCGAACGGGUGAGUAACACGUGAGUAACCUGCCCUUGACUUUGGGAUAACUUCAGGAAACUGGGGCUAAUACCGGAUAGGAGCUCCUGCUGCAUGUUGGGGGUUGGAAAGUUUCGGCGGUUGGGGAUGGACUCGCGGCUUAUCAGCUUGUUGGUGAGGUAGUGGCUUACCAAGGCUUUGACGGGUAGCCGGCCUGAGAGGGUGACCGGCCACCUUGGGACUGAGGUACGGCCCAGACUCCUACGGGAGGCAGCAGGGGGGAAUAUUGCACAAUGGGCGGAAGCCUGAUGCAGCAACGCCGCGUGCGGGAUGACGGCCUUCGGGUUGUAAACCGCUUUCGCCUGUGACGAAGCGUGAGUGACGGUAAUGGGUAAAGAAGCACCGGCUAACUACGUG
RNAcentral lists this ribosomal RNA (468 nucleotides) under uncultured bacterium. Its description in RNAcentral is "partial 16S ribosomal RNA". It matches the Rfam family "Bacterial small subunit ribosomal RNA", at positions 28 to 507 of the family's 1533-position model. The record is from RNAcentral.